RNAcentral lists this ribosomal RNA (253 nucleotides) under uncultured bacterium. RNAcentral's name for it is "partial 16S ribosomal RNA". It matches the Rfam family "Bacterial small subunit ribosomal RNA", at positions 524 to 776 of the family's 1533-position model. The record is from RNAcentral.
UACGUAGGGGGCUAGCGUUGUCCGGAAUCAUUGGGCGUAAAGAGCGUGUAGGCGGUCCGGUAAGUCCGCUGUGAAAGUCGGGGGCUCAACCCUCGAAUGCCGGUGGAUACUGUCGGGCUAGAGUGCGGAAGGGGCGAGUGGAAUUCCUGGUGUAGCGGUGAAAUGCGCAGAUAUCAGGAGGAACACCUAUUGCGAAGGCAGCUCGCUGGGACGUAACUGACGCUGAGACGCGAAAGCGUGGGGAGCAAACAGG